UCAUCUGACCGACAUUUCGACCCUACAGGGUCUUCCUCAAAAUUCUUGAGGAAGACCCUGUAGGGUCGAAAUGUCGGUCAGAUGAUGUAACC
Pelobates cultripes (western spadefoot toad) is the source of this 92-nucleotide non-coding RNA. The record is from the annotation of a GenBank genome assembly. NCBI's taxonomy places the organism in Eukaryota, Metazoa, Chordata, Amphibia, Anura, Pelobatidae.